This 459-nucleotide ribosomal RNA is filed under the name uncultured bacterium. Its description in RNAcentral is "partial 16S ribosomal RNA". It matches the Rfam family "Bacterial small subunit ribosomal RNA", at positions 338 to 795 of the family's 1533-position model. The record is from RNAcentral.
CCUACGGGUGGCAGCAGUGAGGAAUAUUGGUCAAUGGCCGGAAGGCUGAACCAGCCAAGCCGCGUGAAGGACGAAGGUGCCAAGCAUUGUAAACUUCUUUUGUCAAGGGAAAAAAUCAGGCUCGAGAGCCUGACCGAGGGUACUUGAAGAAAAAGCAUCGGCUAACUCCGUGCCAGCAGCCGCGGUAAUAAGGGGGAUGCGAGCGUUAUCCGGAUUUAGUGGGUUUAAAGGGUGGGUAGGCGGAUUGUUAAGUCAGUGGUAAAAGCCCGGGGCUCAACCCCGGCGAGCCGUUGAAACUGGCGUUCUUGAGAUGUCGAGAGGUAUGCGGAAUGCGCAGUGUAGCGGUGAAAUGCUUAGAUAUUGCGCAGAACUCCGAUUGCGAAGGCAGCAUACCGGCGGCGAUCUGACGCUGAGGCACGAAAGCGUGGGUAGCAAACAGGAUUAGAUACCCUUGUAGUC